UCAUAAAUGGGAUCAUAUAUGAUCUCUGAGGCCUUAUAAAAGAGGCCUCAGAGAGAUCUCUAGCACCUUACCCCAUGGGAGAGUACAAUGAGAAGUCUGUGACCUGGAAGAGGGCUCUCACCAGAACCCAACCAGACUAUCACUCUGAUCUUGGGACUUCCAGCCUCCAGAACCAGGAAGCCACAGCAGUGGGACAUGAGCAACCGAAGAGGGCCACCUAGUGUAAAGUGAAGAUCCCUAAGAAACAUCAGGCACCCAAACUUCAUCUUAGCAUCUGCUUCUGGAGAAUCCAGUGUGUAGCUCCAGGAAUGAUUCAAGAAAGCAGAAUGACACAGGAUGUUGGAGCCAAAUCACUUACCACCUGCUGGCAAUGAGGACCCCCUCAUGGUGGGUUUCUCAUUCAGCAGAUGAGGCAGGCUGAGAACCUAUUCUAAUGAGUUCCCAGGUGAAGCAGACACUUGGAAGAACCACUGCUCCACAGAACUGUAACAGAAGGAGAAGAAAGGCAACUGGAAGCCAGACAGACCACUGGAGGCACACAAAGAAGCUGUCCCCUGCAGCAUCAAUCCGAGAGUGCCAAGACCAAGCCCAGGGUCAGAGAUGGGUAGAUCUUAGAGACAAUUAAUGGCCAACCAGGGUAGAUCUGUAUGCCAAGGGAUGGGACCUAGAAACCUGAGAGGACAUACAGGUUUUUAAGCCCCUAGACUCCUUAAAACCCUCCACUUCCUCAGAGGAGGCCCAAUCCUAUCUAUCAGGGGUGAUCACUUACCUGUGUCUCAAGGCCACAGAACACUGGCAAGGCAACACUGCCUCCCCACAACCAGACUCCCCUCCUGGCCAACAGAUUUAUAAUUAGGGUCACUUCACAGCAUAACCCAGCAGGGGAGGUGCUGCCAAGAGAGAUUAUAUCCCAAAGGAGCUGCAAGAACUGGCCAGCAUGUGCCAGCAGCAGGAGUCUGCACAAGACUGGAUGCUGAGAGUGCUUGACCAAAAAGGGCCAGAACAUAAAAGUGGUUAGGGAAGAGUUUAUUGACUAGCGAGCAUUCAGGAUUCAAGAACACCAGAUACCACGAACUCCCUAUUAAGAUGUCUCCUGAAAGCAUGAAAAAGCAAUGGCCCACAUGAGUGUAGUUAAAAUACCCAAACUGCCAUGACAGAGGAGGAAAUAAUUCAAAGAGUCAGGAAGUGAGCACAUUAGAAUGGAUACAAUAUCUAUGACUGAAAAAUAUACCAGAUUAUCAUAUCAUAUUCAACUGAAGGCCCAGAGGAGAUGCCAAAGGCCAUUUCCUAGGGGCCAAAAGAAAUGUGCUGGUGAAGGGACACCAGCCUCACUAGGAAGGUCAGUGGUGGUCUCCUCUGCAGGCCAGGGCCAACCGUAAAAAAGGGGGUCAGAGAGCAGAGCUUGCUGAUAGCAAUGAGGAUGACAGGACUCUGAAAAUAAGGGAGGUAAGAUGAUGGGACUAACUGCUAGAAGCCAGAUCUCACACUAUCAUUAUAACCAGCAAGAUCAAAGAGGCAACUAUAGAGGUCUGGCCCACAAAAGUCAUGGAAGUAGUUAAUAGAACACAGUAUCCUUAGGUAAGAUAACCGAAAAGCUGACGAGUAAUACUUAGUUUGUACCAACAGAAGACAUUAAGAAUGGUUAACCAAGGGGCUGAAGGCAGGUUAAAGUCAUGAUCCCUUUCCCAGUUCCAGCCCUAUAGUAAAAAAGGCCCUGCAAUACCAUUACAAGCAAAAAUAGUCUCGACAACCCUGUCCUUCCCCAAAGGGCCCUAUGGCCAUUUACCAAAAAAACUGUACACCGGGGAAAGGGGAACCAAAGAGUGUUUAAGGAGAAUCAGAUACAGGGGAUCCCUGGGUGGCUCAGCAGU
Canis lupus familiaris (dog) is the source of this 1871-nucleotide long non-coding RNA. RefSeq lists it as uncharacterized. The record is from RefSeq and is a predicted model, not a curated record. NCBI's taxonomy places the organism in Eukaryota, Metazoa, Chordata, Mammalia, Carnivora, Canidae. The transcript has 4 exons.